Molecule: long non-coding RNA, 1720 nt
Organism: Triticum aestivum (bread wheat)
Lineage: Eukaryota; Viridiplantae; Streptophyta; Magnoliopsida; Poales; Poaceae
Exons: 8
Source: RefSeq, a predicted model, not a curated record
CUACCCCCCCCCCCCCCCCUCCGCUGACGGUGGCCAGAACGAGGUGGGUUCAACCGGCAGAGGCCCGGGCGAGAUCGCGUGCGAGUGGACGGAGCAGGCGCUCGUGGUCGUGGUGAACCAUGGGCGCAGUCGGAGCAGAGAGUCGGGGCGUAGGAGAUGAGGAGAACGGCGUAGGCUUCAUGAUGGAAGGAGAUACGGCGGCGGACAAGGAGGAGGUCGGGGGUUACACAGAGGUACAGGUGGAUGUCAGCAACCUGCCCCCUACGACGUCGAUGGUACUUUGACGUUAGAAGGGAUACUUGCCCCUUUGGCGGAUGAUGUUUUUACAAGCAUGCCUACACCGAUGGGCAUUUGGAGGAGCCGGCAACGGUGGCAGUGCUUCAUUUUCCUGCCGACAAUGGAAGUAUGGACCAGCAAGAAAUAUCGAGUUGAAAAUUCCGUUCGAACAUGCAGAUUGGCAUACUUGCUGAGAAGGUUACAACUGUAGAAGGAAGCAGUUGAGAAGAGAAGCACGUAGGGGAUGAUGUCGAUCUUGCACAUUCAGCUUUAUGUAAAUGCUUCUUCGUGUACCAUAUAUGGCAGUUUGGUAAAAAGAAAAAGAAAACAACGGAGCAAAUUAAAAUAUAAUAUGUUUAUCAAAAAGGCAGAAGGUAAUCGAUGAGCAAACAUAUUUACAUUCUAAUAUUUUUUAUUUUCUUUUCUUGAUAUGUUAUUUCCUUUGCUGAUCCUUCUCUUCUUCAUAUGAACAGCCCCCAGCUAGAUUGACGAGAAAGUUUAUUUUGCACAUGGUCUUUUCUGGUUUUGUCCUUGUAGCAAGAAGUACAUUUUUAUAACAAUAUCAGCUUUGCUCUGGUGUGUGCAAUGAUUUCAUUCAGAUACAGACCUUUUGGAAAUUGUGGUUUUCUUUUGUAUUUUGGUCCUAAUAUGGAAUGUUCUGUUGCUGGAUUGAAUUACUCUCUCAGCAUUUUUAUUUUGACAUAUUAUAAUGCUCAGUUUGUUUACAGGCUAUUGAAUACUGUCGGAGGAAGGAAUCAGUGCUGAGGUGAUCAACCUUCGAUCAGUUAGGCCACUGGAUAGAGCUGCGAUAAAAGCAUAUGUUACGAAAAUAAAUAGGUUGGUGAUUCUUGAAGAAGGCUCCCCCCAACAUCGUGUUGGUGCUGAGAUAUGGUUUUCUCUCUCUCUCUCUCUCCACACACAUCAUGUCAGGUUUGAGCAGGCCAACCCUCUUCCAAUUAUUCAUUCGAAUUAUUGUACAGAAUCUACAAUUAUAAGAAAGAAGAAUUUGAUAAAUUAGAGAGAGAUAUGCUUUCAUAAAUUGCUCACCCCUGAAGGUUACAAAUUCAAGUGUUGGGUUCGAAGGAUGAAGCAAAUCCCAAAUCACAUGUUAAUAUAUCUUGAUGCACAUUUGUAUUUACUUUGCUUCAGGUUCACAUGCAGUGACGGAGAUUUCAUCGGCUCGCCUCCAUUUUCUUGGUGAACCCACAUUUCCCUCUAAGGUACAUUCUGAAGGAGAAGAUUGCUGGUCGAGAAGGCCAUUUAUCUGAUAUUAGUUUAUUGGAGAAAUUGCCCAUGAUGUAUUUUCAGUACAUUAGGAUUUUUUGUAGUCGCAUGGUUCUGAUAGGAAGAUACCGUUGCUACCAGGUCAACAAUCUCCCCUUCAAUAAUAUUUGAUUUACAUUUUGUAUGCCAUUCAUCGAAUCAAUGUGGAUUACAAUGACCA